UUGAUUUGAGCUCAGAAUGGUAUUGAUAAGUAAUUACUAUUUUGGUAUUAAUUAAUUAAUUCGAAAUACUCCAAACAGAGGCCGAGCAACAGUCCAAUGGUCUGAUCAGAGACUCCGUGGAAUCACAGAACCCAUGUUGAUCAGGUUGGUUAUGGUUUCUGUGAGAGAACAUGUGAGAAGAACAACUGUGGGGGAUAAUAUGUUAAACAAUUAAACACUUUGUUGUUAGGGUUUAAGGGUGAAAAGCUCUUCACCUUUACCAUUCUCUGAGUAUCUGUUUUAACCUUUUCUUUAUCUUUGUUGAAAUUAAUCUGUUCACGUUGGUAAUUGUGAGUUGAAAACUUGUUCUGCAGAGGAUGGGUUCUUGGUUUUUGCUUGUUUCAAACUCCAAAGUAAUUUCUUCUGUUUAUUAAAGAUAUAAUUAGGUUAUAUUUCUUAAAUAUGUCAGAUAAAAGCCUCUUGCCCUCCAGGCUCCUUCUCUGCUUAAUAACGGCAUCAAUGGUUCUUUUAAUCUUUUCUUCGUUGUUCCUUCUUCAAUUCAGCAACCAUUCUUUCAUAACCCGAUCGGUUUCUAAGUUAAUUCCUGUUAAUAAUGAUGCAUCUGCUUAUUUCAAGCCUAGUGUUAGAAGUGAAAAUAACCAACCUAUGAGAAUAAACGAGGUGCCUUGUCAGAGUUCUGAUCCGGGAAAGACAUCCAAUGCCUGCGACAUAAAUCGUGCUCUACUUCGGGUAUACCUGUAUGACUUGCCCCCUGAAUUUCACUUCGGGUUAUUGGGUUGGAAGGGAAAUGCAGAUCAAAUAUGGCCGGAUGUUACUAAAUCUGGUCAUAUCCCUCCCUACCCCGGUGGGUUAAAUUUACAGCACAGUAUGGAGUACUGGCUCACCAUUGAUCUUCUAUCCUCGACUGCUCCGAAUAUAAUCAGACCUUGCAGUGCUAUCAGAGUGUAUAAUUCAAGCCAAGCAGAUAUAAUUCUUGUGCCAUUCUUCUCAUCUCUGAGUUACAAUAGGUACUCUAAGGUUACUGGAAAGGAGAAAGUUAGUAUCAACAGAAUGUUGCAGAAUAAAUUAGUGGAGUUUUUGAAGAAUCGGGAUGAGUGGAAGAAAUUGGAUGGGAAGGAUCAUCUGAUAGUAGCACAUCAUCCGAAUAGCAUGCUGGUUGCUAGAAAGAAGCUGGGUUCUGCAAUGUUUAUUCUUGCAGAUUUCGGGAGAUAUCCGGCUAGAAUAGCAAACCUUGAAAAAGAUGUGAUUGCCCCGUACAAGCAUCUCGUGAAGACCGUUGACGGCGGCAAGUCAGCACCAUUUGAAGGGCGUCCUAUAUUGGUGUAUUUCCAAGGAGCAAUUUAUAGGAAAGAUGGGGGAGCAGUCCGUCAAGAACUUUAUUACCUUCUCAAAGAUGAGAAAGAUGUUCACUUCACAUUUGGAAGCACUCGCUCAAAUGGAAUCAGGCAGGCAGGACAAGGGAUGGGCUCAUCCAAAUUCUGCCUGAAUAUUGCUGGGGAUACCCCUUCCUCAAAUCGCCUCUUUGAUGCCAUUGCUAGCCAUUGUGUUCCUGUAAUUAUCAGUGAUGAGAUCGAGCUACCAUUUGAGGAUGUCCUAGACUACUCAGAGUUCUGCAUAUUUGUACGUGCAUCAGAUGCCAUAAAGAAAGGGUUCCUGCUGAAUAUUCUAAGGGGAAUUAAUCAAGACAAGUGGACCAAUAUGUGGGAAAGAUUAAAGCAGAUUGCACGACACUUUGAAUAUCAGUAUCCAUCUCAGCCUGGUGAUGCAGUUGAUAUGAUUUGGCAGGAAAUUUCACAUAAGAUAUCUCCAAUGCAACUCAGAGUUCACAGGGACAACAGAUAUCGCAAAUCUCAGCAUCUGGUUGAUGUUUGAUAAAUGCACAUUGGAGAACCGAAGUUUCCCAUCUUUAAAUUCUAUAAAGAUCAUGGUUAUCUGCACAGCAGCCAGCCAGACCAUAAACCCCCCACCCAAGCCAACAGGUCUCUCCUUAUAUGGCCUUGGUGUGUCCCCUUCUCUUCCUUUUAUAACCUGGCUCUUUAUUUUAUUCCCAGUUAUCCAUGCACCAAGAGCGAAGACCAUCUUUCUCUUUUCUAUCUUUUCCUUUCUUUUUUUCUCUUGGUUCAUUAAUUGAAAACCACCAGCAGCAGAGUUUUUCUAUUUUUAUGUAAGAUGGAUACUGCAAUGUGAGCCUUCACUUUCAGUCCCACUGUAUAAUUUGAAAGUAAAAGAAACACAUGAAAUGUUGCUUUCUGAUA
Molecule: RNA transcript, 2255 nt
Organism: Diospyros lotus (date-plum)
Lineage: Eukaryota; Viridiplantae; Streptophyta; Magnoliopsida; Ericales; Ebenaceae
Gene name: probable arabinosyltransferase ARAD1
Exons: 4
Source: RefSeq, a predicted model, not a curated record